This 210-nucleotide ribosomal RNA is filed under the name uncultured bacterium. RNAcentral's name for it is "partial 16S ribosomal RNA". It matches the Rfam family "Bacterial small subunit ribosomal RNA", at positions 568 to 774 of the family's 1533-position model. The record is from RNAcentral.
CACGUAGGCAGUGAAUCAGGUUGAAAGUCAAAGGCGCCAGCUCAACUGGCGGAAUGCUUUCAAAACCAAUUCACUCGAGUGGGAUAGAGGGGAGUGGAAUUUCGUGUGUAGGGAUAAAAUCCAGAGAUAUACGAAGGAACGCCGAAGUAGCGAAGGCAGCUUUCUGGGUCUCUACUGACGCUAGGGUGCGAAAGCGUUGGGGAGCAAACA